AACUAGGCGGAUAAAGAGGGAGCAACUCCAGAGCUUGUAUGACUUCUUUGGGCUUAAUGCAGCUACAGGGGGUCCUGUGCUGAGCAGGCAAAGCAGAUUUUCGUUGCCAAAAUGAGCUUCAGCCAGCACACGUGGUCCCAUACCAUUGGAUUUUCCUGCUUGGAUGGAAUCCACCAUUGGAUUUUCCUGCUUUUCCUGAUGGCAAGGCAGGGAUGGCUCUGCAGAUGCUCUUCGAAUGGCCACAGCCCAACCAAGCACGAGAAACUCUCCCACUCGCCAUCUUCUGCAGUUGUCACCUUGGGUUAUGAAGAGGAAAUAUGAAUUUUCCAGCUCCCUAGACCCUGCUGGGAAGACUUGUAGCAUCAUCCUGGAGGAAAUCCUGCUUAUCAUGUCAGCUGCCAGUCAUCAAGGUCCAAUUCUGCCCCUGUUGUCUCUUGGGAUCCAGUCCCAUGUUGCUUCAACCCAAAUUUCUCCUGCUGCAACACCUCGUGGCACGAUCAGCUAUUCCCCCUCUGCUGCCACAGCCUGCUGAUGCAUCGAUGGGCAGGAGCUGGGGGGGGGGAGAACCUUUGCUGGAGAGCGGUGGGCUCAGCUGUUGGACAAAACGGACCAAGAGGCAAGAGGUGGGAAGAAAAAAACAGGAGAGAUCUAUGGAUGCAGCCUUGCUUUUUUGGGAUGCCUUUCCCAGGACAGACCCCCCCGGCACGGGACAGAUUGAAGCACACAGUGGAGCACUUACCAGGUCUUACGCCAAGCCACAUCUGCCGACGAGCUGCUGGGGGGUGAGGAGGAUGGUUCUGGGCUGGGGAUGUAAAAAGGGGAUGGGGGCACGGGGGGCUGUGGCAGCACGAUGGCAUUCUCCCUGCCUGAUGCUGUGUUUUUCUACUCCAGCCUCUUUUUCAGCCACUUUCUCCUGGUCUCCCAUUUUCCAACCAUUUUUAGUUACAAAAGCAAAUUCAGCCCAAGCAGCGAAGGACAAGCAGCACCUUCCCCUCCCCAUUAAACACCCAAAAAGCAAAGCCCAAAGCUCCAGUGCUGGACAAGAAGCAAGAGCAGAUGCUAAAGAGAGGCGGUGGCAGCACCAGCCUUGCGCUGUCACCUUGUCUGGGACGUGCUUGCACCAUCCAGAAAAACGAGAAGGAAAAAACAAUCCCAGGGACACGAGGGCAGCAGUGGACAAAGUGCCUUGGCAGGGACGUCUUUGGCCAGUAUUUGGGGUGGCUUUAGCUGUUGUGAUGCCCGUAAUAGACAUUGAUCAGGUCUGA
This 1265-nucleotide long non-coding RNA is filed under the name Anser cygnoides (Swan goose). RNAcentral describes it as "lncRNA (ENSACDG00005011993.1)". Lineage: Eukaryota; Metazoa; Chordata; Aves; Anseriformes; Anatidae. The record is from RNAcentral.